UGAGGAACAUGACUUUCGGCGGGGGAGUAGCCGGCCCCGAACGGCCGGGUAAUACCGCGUACGACCUCUCGGGGACAUCCCCGGUUGGUGAAAGCAGCAAUGCACCGAAAGAGUGCCUCGCGGCCUAUCAGCUAGUUGGUGAGGUAACGGCUCACCAAGGCGACGACGGGUAGCUGGUCCGAGAGGAUGACCAGCCACAUUGGGACUGAGACACCGGCCCAGACCUCCGUACGGGGAGGCAG
Molecule: ribosomal RNA, 242 nt
Filed under: uncultured bacterium
Lineage: Bacteria
Description: partial 16S ribosomal RNA
Rfam family: Bacterial small subunit ribosomal RNA
Source: RNAcentral